UCCGUCUCAAAAAAAAAAAAAAAAGUAAAUUGAGGACACUGUAACACUCUGCUCUUAAACACCUCCCAAAUGCUAUUUUAGAGAAAAAUCUGUAUUUUUAUCUAAAAGUCCACACUUCAUAUUCGCACUUUAGAUAGUUAACAAUCAUUCCUUUAUACCUAGCCCAUAAUCGUAUUUCCUUCAAUUAUACCCCAAAUGGUCUUUACAGCUGGUCCUCCGAAGAUCCAACCCCAAACCAGACCUGGAAACUGAGGCACUUAGGGGCUUGGCAACUUGCCUAAUAUCACCCGAGAGCUGAUUAAGGCUUGGGGCCAGGACUGGGACCCCAGGAUGAAGCCCAGCUGAGCAGAAAACCUCUGUGCACAGGAUGCAGCAAUCAAGAUAAUAAAAAUCAACUCCGACUGAGAAAGUAUCUGCCUACACAUUCAUCAGGCUGGGAGGACAGACCCAGAUGGUAUCAGUUGGAAAAUUAACAGAAAACAGUAUUUUUGCCAAGGACACCUUUUUCUGAGCCAUCAAUGUCUUCUAGCUCGCUAAAUGCCUUCCUUGCCCAUUACAAUCAUACACAGUGAUUGACAUUUUAUCAGUAAGAAUAAACUUCCCUUUUCCGGCCGGAGGGUCUGAUUUUCUUGGACACAGAGAAUCCGUCUCCAUUUCCAACCCAGGUGCAGGGCUCUGAUAAGCGGUUUCCGGACAUAACAAUCUACAGCGGUCUUAUCUUGUGGUUCCCAAGGAAACAGGUCCCGGCUGCACUUCGCAGCCCAGACCCGAGGGUGACCCCUUUACAAGCUUGCUCUUUGCCAAAUGGAAACCACGCAGUAUUUACAUUUCACCUAAACCCCACCCUUCCCUCCAAAUCCGAUGGGUUACUCAGGCCUAGGAUCCUCAGGCCUAGGGGGUCAAAACGCCCCGCGUCCCCAACCAAGACCCCUGAAGUCUAGCGGGGUUCCACUGGCCUCCGGAGCCUCCUCCCUGGGGCGCGGUGCCAGGACUUCGCCAUUAAACGAGCCCGCCCCCUGCACUUUGAACUCUGCCCCCAUCCUUUGACCCAAACCCCCCUACGCCCCGGCAUCGGAGUCCCCUUGCUUGGCCUCUGCCACGAAGAUACGGGGCCAGGUCCAGCAGUACAAGGAGGAGAAACCGCUCUCACGGGAGGCGCUGCGGCCACUGAGGGAGACGGCCGCCGCGGGUCACAGACGGAUGCUUCCGUUUCCGGUUCCGGGGCGGCUGGGAGCUGAAAAGUGGGCUAGUAAUGAGCUUGGGAUUGGUGGAGCCUCAAAGAUAGGCGGGACGACCUACGUCGUCCAAUCGCUGAGCAGGAAAAGCUAGUUUCCGCCGUCUGGGAGAUAAUUGGCAUUGUUGGCAGAUCCGCCCCUCGAGGGCAAGUCUCGGGACAGAAUCGCGCUGUGGGCGUGGCUUGUACUGGAUCCUCCCCGGGGCGUGGCUAAAACAAGACCGAGGUCCCGGGACGAGGUUGGGGGCGUGGUCUUUCGCGCAAUCCUCCAACGCCCAAUUACCCUGAUAAACAAUAAACGCUAAAAUAAGUAAUAAAUGCUCAUUUCCUCCAGCCAACACAUUCCUCGUGAUAACAUACUCCUGCACAAAGAUAUUCCCAUUGUUGGGAUUUUUCUUCCUUGAAUGUCUGUUAUUUCUUCCAGAAAUAAGGUCAUUUUUAUGCAUUUACAUGUGGCUUUUCUUAUUAAUGAGUGCGUUGUGAUGUUCCCUUCUGGCCACUAGAUGGCCACGUAGCUCACAUUUUCAAAUUCGCGGAUAUUUUGUUUUAGUUGCUUUAGACAUAGGUGUCCAAUCUUUUGGCUUCACUGGGACACAUUGGAAUAAUUGUCUUGGGCCACACAUAAAAUACAGGAACACUAACUAUAGCUGAUGAGCUAAAACAAGACAAAAAUUGCAAAAUAAUCUCAUAAUGUUUUUUUUUU
This 1937-nucleotide long non-coding RNA is filed under the name Homo sapiens (human). Its description in RNAcentral is "HSALNT0254512". Lineage: Eukaryota; Metazoa; Chordata; Mammalia; Primates; Hominidae. The record is from RNAcentral.